Molecule: ribosomal RNA, 381 nt
Filed under: uncultured eukaryote
Lineage: Eukaryota
Description: partial 18S ribosomal RNA
Rfam family: Eukaryotic small subunit ribosomal RNA
Source: RNAcentral
CAAUAGCGUAUAUUAAAGUUGUUGCGGUAAAAAAGCUCGUAGUUGGAUUUCUACCGAAGAUAGCCGGUCAGGUCUUCGACCUUGUAUCUGGUUUUGUCUUUGGUAUCCUCAUAGGGAACGUUUCUGCGCUUUAUUGCGUGGUGCGGUAUCUAUGACUUUUACUUUGAGGAAAUUAGAGUGUUCACGGCAGGCAAACGCCUUGAAUAUAUUAGCAUGGAAUAAUAACAUAGGAUCUUCGUCCUAUUUUGUUGGUUUCUAGGGCUAAGAUAAUGAUUAAUAGGGAUAAUUGGGGGCAUCUGUAUCAACGCGUCAGAGGUGGAAUUCUUGGAUUGCGUUGCGACAAACUACUGCGAAAGCAUUUGCCAAGGAUGUUUUCAUUGA